AUUGAACGCUGGCGGCAUGCUUUACACAUGCAAGUCGGACGGCAGCACAGAGAAGCUUGCUUCUUGGGUGGCGAGUGGCGAACGGGUGAGUAAUAUAUCGGAACGUACCGAGUAAUGGGGGAUAACUAAUCGAAAGAUUAGCUAAUACCGCAUAUUCUCUGAGGAGGAAAGCAGGGGAUCUUCGGGCCUUGCGUUAUUCGAGCGGCCGAUAUCUGAUUAGCUAGUUGGUGGGGUAAAGGCCUACCAAGGCGACGAUCAGUAGCGGGUCUGAGAGGAUGAUCCGCCACACUGGGACUGAGACACGGCCCAGACUCCUACGGGAGGCAGCAGUGGGGAAUUUUGGACAAUGGGCGCAAGCCUGAUCCAGCCAUGCCGCGUGUCUGAAGAAGGCCUUCGGGUUGUAAAGGACUUUUGUCAGGGAAGAAAAGGCUGUUGCUAAUAUCGACAGCUGAUGACGGUACCUGAAGAAUAAGCACCGGCUAACUACGUG
RNAcentral lists this ribosomal RNA (490 nucleotides) under uncultured bacterium. Its description in RNAcentral is "partial 16S ribosomal RNA". It matches the Rfam family "Bacterial small subunit ribosomal RNA", at positions 30 to 507 of the family's 1533-position model. The record is from RNAcentral.